AGAGUUUGAUCCUGGCUCAGAUUGAACGCUGGCGGCGUGCUUAACACAUGCAAGUCGAGCGGUAACGCGGGAGCAAUCCUGGCGACGAGCGGCGAACGGGUGAGUAAUACAUCGGAACGUGUCCUGUAGUGGGGGAUAGCCCGGCGAAAGCCGGAUUAAUACCGCAUACGCUCUACGGAGGAAAGGGGGGGAUCUUAGGACCUCCCGCUACAGGGGCGGCCGAUGGCAGAUUAGCUAGUUGGUGGGGUAAAGGCCUACCAAGGCGACGAUCUGUAGCUGGUCUGAGAGGACGACCAGCCACACUGGGACUGAGACACGGCCCAGACUCCUACGGGAGGCAGCAGUGGGGAAUUUUGGACAAUGGGGGAAACCCUGAUCCAGCAAUGCCGCGUGUGUGAAGAAGGCCUUCGGGUUGUAAAGCACUUUUGUCCGGAAAGAAAUCCUUUGAGUUAAUACCUCGGGGGGAUGACGGUACCGGAAGAAUAAGCACCGGCUAACUACGUGCCAGCAGCCGCGGUAAUACGUAGGGUGCAAGCGUUAAUCGGAAUUACUGGGCGUAAAGCGUGCGCAGGCGGUCCGCUAAGACAGAUGUGAAAUCCCCGGGCUUAACCUGGGAACUGCAUUUGUGACUGGCGGGCUAGAGUAUGGCAGAGGGGGGUAGAAUUCCACGUGUAGCAGUGAAAUGCGUAGAGAUGUGGAGGAAUACCGAUGGCGAAGGCAGCCCCCUGUGCCAAUACUGACGCUCAUGCACGAAAGCGUGGGGAGCAAACAGGAUUAGAUACCCUGGUAGUCCACGCCCUAAACGAUGUCAACUAGUUGUCGGGUCUUCAUUGACUUGGUAACGAAGCUAACGCGUGAAGUUGACCGCCUGGGGAGUACGGUCGCAAGAUAAAACUCAAAGAAUGACGU
This 909-nucleotide ribosomal RNA is filed under the name uncultured Burkholderiaceae bacterium. RNAcentral describes it as "bacterial SSU rRNA". It matches the Rfam family "Bacterial small subunit ribosomal RNA", at positions 8 to 916 of the family's 1533-position model. The record is from RNAcentral. Lineage: Bacteria; Pseudomonadati; Pseudomonadota; Betaproteobacteria; Burkholderiales; Burkholderiaceae.